RNAcentral lists this ribosomal RNA (167 nucleotides) under Xeromyces bisporus. RNAcentral describes it as "partial large subunit ribosomal RNA". It matches the Rfam family "Eukaryotic large subunit ribosomal RNA", at positions 99 to 261 of the family's 3401-position model. Lineage: Eukaryota; Fungi; Ascomycota; Eurotiomycetes; Eurotiales; Aspergillaceae. The record is from RNAcentral.
CGGCAAGAGCUCAAAUUUGAAAGCUGGCUCCUCCGGGGUCCGCAUUGUAAUUUGGAGAGGAUGCUUCGGGUGCGGCCCCCGUCUAAGUGCUCUGGAACGGGCCGUCGGAGAGGGUGAGAAUCCCGUCUGGGGCGGGGAGCCCCGUGCCCGUGUGAAGCUCCUUCAAC